UACGGAGGGAGCUAGCGUUGUUCGGAAUUACUGGGCGUAAAGCGCACGUAGGCGGCUUUGUAAGUUAGAGGUGAAAGCCCGGGGCUCAACUCCGGAACUGCCUUUAAGACUGCAUCGCUUGAAUCCAGGAGAGGUGAGUGGAAUUCCGAGUGUAGAGGUGAAAUUCGUAGAUAUUCGCAAGAACACCAGUGGCGAAGGCGGCUCACUGGCCCGGUACUGACGCUGAGGCACGAAAGCGUGAGGAGCAAACAGG
RNAcentral lists this ribosomal RNA (253 nucleotides) under uncultured bacterium. RNAcentral describes it as "partial 16S ribosomal RNA". It matches the Rfam family "Bacterial small subunit ribosomal RNA", at positions 524 to 776 of the family's 1533-position model. The record is from RNAcentral.